Molecule: non-coding RNA, 145 nt
Organism: Talaromyces proteolyticus
Lineage: Eukaryota; Fungi; Ascomycota; Eurotiomycetes; Eurotiales; Trichocomaceae
Source: the annotation of a RefSeq genome assembly
AGCAUGUUAGCACAGUGGAAGAGCGCCGGGCUCAUAUUUAUACGUUUCACGUAGAUCACCCGGAGGGUAAUUUCCACCCAACCUUAACUUCCCAGUAAAGUUACUAACAACUUUGUAGUCCCUGGAUCGAAACCAGGACAUGCUA